UGGGAUUUUGUCAUUAAGGGAAAAGAGAAAGUGAAAGUUGAGCAGUAACUAGUUGACAAUGUCUGCCUCACCUUCACACUCCUAGGACUGCCCCGAGGUGAAGCCGCGCGGGGAGAGGAAGCGGGUGUUUUCCCCUCUGCCUUUCGGCCCCCGCCCUUCCUUUCAGUUUCUCCCGGUUCGCUCGGAAGUUGGAGGUUGACAAAAAUGGCAGGAGCCGGGGCCCGGGCGGGUCU
RNAcentral lists this long non-coding RNA (233 nucleotides) under Capra hircus (goat). RNAcentral's name for it is "lncRNA (ENSCHIG00010023902.1)". The record is from RNAcentral. Lineage: Eukaryota; Metazoa; Chordata; Mammalia; Artiodactyla; Bovidae.